UACGUAGGGUGCGAGCGUUGUCCGGAAUUACUGGGCGUAAAGAGCUCGUAGGUGGUUUGUCGCGUUGUUCGUGAAAACUCGCAACUCAAUUGUGGGCGUGCGGGCGAUACGGGCAGACUGGAGUACUGCAGGGGAGACUGGAAUUCCUGGUGUAGCGGUGGAAUGCGCAGAUAUCAGGAGGAACACCGGUGGCGAAGGCGGGUCUCUGGGCAGUAACUGACGCUGAGGAGCGAAAGCGUGGGGAGCGAACAGG
RNAcentral lists this ribosomal RNA (253 nucleotides) under uncultured bacterium. RNAcentral's name for it is "partial 16S ribosomal RNA". It matches the Rfam family "Bacterial small subunit ribosomal RNA", at positions 524 to 776 of the family's 1533-position model. The record is from RNAcentral.